UCCCGACCUACAUGAUGUGAGCCUCCGGUGUAAAGGCUGCUGUUGCUGCACUGAGCUAAGAAGGCAGUGAAGGCUCGCUGCAGAGCAAGCGCUUCUCUGGCUCUCCUCACCGGGUAGAAAUUUCUGACAGUCCACAAUUAAUAAUGAUGCCUCAGACCUCUGUGCUGAUCAAAUGGUGUGGGCCACUCACCACACACGAAAUCACCAGCUUCUGGAAGAGGCUUUGAGGGAGGGUUUUCCUCACCCUGUGACCUCACACAGCAGGGAUGCCCUCAGCAUCCGUUACCUUGGAGAAAUAUUUAAAUGUUCUACCCCACCCACUCUCCUCUUGCUGCCCUCACUCUGGAGCAGUUAACACUCACUGGAUGGAGCUGUAUUUGUCUGCAUCUCCCACUUAAACACAAAGUCUGUGAGGGGCUUUGUUACGGAGGUGUCCCUGGAGCCUGGCAGGUUGUCAUCAGUCAGAAGAAUGGAGCCCCGGGGGAUCACGUCAUGCAACACUCAUCUCAGGCUCUGCCUGAUGGAGGCACACGGAGCACAAAGGGCCCUUUAGGAUCUGUCAAGCAGAUCGGAACUGACGCAAAGAAAAUCCGUGGGCUUCAGAGCAAGGACACAGUGGAGCAUCCAGAGACAGGAAAAGGUCCCUGAGAAAAUACAAUCCAGUUGCCUGGCAAGCAAGCACCUCUAACUCUGUCAGGUGGCCACCAACUCUUUGGAGCUCCAGAAAGAAGAGGAUACAAGUAGCCAUCAGACUGUCUGGGUUUUGGACCAGACACUGCCCCUAGGACUUUUGCAGGGAUGACUGGCAGAGGAGCCUGCGAACCAGGGCCACGUUCUUUUAUAAACCUUCUCCAUUGGGAUUAAACUGUAACAAUUCCUAUUGUUUAAAUAUCUGCCGGUGCGGGAUAAAGCACACCAAGCCAACAGGGUUCCACGUGGAGAGAUUUAAUGGGAGAAUGAGACAAGGGGAAGGGACAAGAGAAAGAAGAGAAAAAGAGGGAGAGGGCAGAAAAUGUCUGCCUCUUAUUUGGAAUAUGACGGAACUGCUCCCAGGUGGGAACUAAGCCAAAGGUAUACUGGGAAUGUAUGGCCAUUGCCAUGGCAACAGUGACCAAAUGGUGUAGCUGCUGGAGGCGAAAGCAAUUCCUGAUACCAACACCUAUAACUGUAGUAUUUGUUUUCUAAAGGUAAAUUAACUUCCUUCUAGG
This 1208-nucleotide long non-coding RNA is filed under the name Rattus norvegicus (Norway rat). RNAcentral describes it as "long non-coding RNA NONRATT005530". Lineage: Eukaryota; Metazoa; Chordata; Mammalia; Rodentia; Muridae. The record is from RNAcentral.